AACGCUUUAAUAACCGUGUCGUGUUUGUGUGUGCGUAUACGUGUGCAUGUGGUAACACGCGAGUGUCUUCCCAUCGCGAAAUUCAUUAUUCGGUUCCCGUUCCGUGACCUCGUUCCUCGAUCGUAAAUAUCGUCUAGAACCCCCUCGAACCUCGAAUCUUCCUUCGUCCAUGUCGAUCGACCGAUGGAAGUCUUAACGAACUGUUCAAAGACUCGAAAUUUGUAAACAACAGCAGCAUCAGCAGCACCGGCAGCACCAGCAACGAAGUACACCCCUCCACCAGGUCCCGCAGGCCGUUUCUUCUCCUCUCGUCUCUUCUCUCUGGUCACUCUCUUCUCUUACCUCGCUAGUGGUUAGUCUUGGCUCCCUCUUUUCUCCCUCUAGCCUUCUCGCUCUCUCCUGUCCACGUACCUUGUCUCUAGCGCUCUCUCCUUCUCCCUCCGCU
This 445-nucleotide unclassified non-coding RNA is filed under the name Bombus terrestris (buff-tailed bumblebee). Its description in RNAcentral is "misc RNA ENSBTSG00005020857.1". Lineage: Eukaryota; Metazoa; Arthropoda; Insecta; Hymenoptera; Apidae. The record is from RNAcentral.